GGAGUUAGGAAAUGUAAGUGCGCUAAUAUCGUGCUUAUUUGACAAAGGCUCCAAAGGAAGCCACGGCUAACUCUGUGCCAGCAGCCGCGGUAAUACAGAGGUGGCAAGCGUUGUUCGGAAUUAUUGGGCGUAAAGAGCACGUAGGUGGGUUUGCAAGUCAGAUGUGAAAGCCUUCUGUUCAACGGAAGAAUUGCAUCUGAAACUGCUAAUCUUGAGUAUAGGAGGGGAGAGUGGAAC
Molecule: ribosomal RNA, 237 nt
Filed under: uncultured Planctomycetales bacterium
Lineage: Bacteria; Pseudomonadati; Planctomycetota; Planctomycetia; Planctomycetales
Description: partial 16S ribosomal RNA
Rfam family: Bacterial small subunit ribosomal RNA
Source: RNAcentral